UGGGGAAUAUUGGACAAUGGGCGCAAGCCUGAUCCAGCCAUACCGCGUGGGUGAAGAAGGCCUUCGGGUUGUAAAGCCUUUUGUUGGGAAAGAAAUCCAGCCGGCUAAUACCUGGUUGGGAUGACGGUACCCAAAGAAUAAGCACCGGCUAACUUCGUGCCAGCAGCCGCGGUAAUACGAAGGGUGCAAGCGUUACUCGGAAUUACUGGGCGUAAAGCGUGCGUAGGUGGUCGUUUAAGUCCGUUGUGAAAGCCCUGGCUGCAACCUGGGAACUGCAGUGGAUACUGGGCGACUAGAGUGUGGUAGAGGGUAGCGGAAUUCCUGGUGUAGCAGUGAAAUGCGUAGAGAUCAGGAGGAACAUCCAUGGCGAAGGCAGCUACCUGGACCAACACUGACACUGAGGCACGAAAGCGUGGGAGCAAACAGGAUUAGAUA
This 435-nucleotide ribosomal RNA is filed under the name uncultured bacterium. RNAcentral's name for it is "partial 16S ribosomal RNA". It matches the Rfam family "Bacterial small subunit ribosomal RNA", at positions 355 to 784 of the family's 1533-position model. The record is from RNAcentral.